This 253-nucleotide ribosomal RNA is filed under the name uncultured bacterium. RNAcentral's name for it is "partial 16S ribosomal RNA". It matches the Rfam family "Bacterial small subunit ribosomal RNA", at positions 524 to 776 of the family's 1533-position model. The record is from RNAcentral.
UACAGAGACUGCAAGCGUUAUUCGGAUUCACUGGGCGUAAAGGGUGCGCAGGCGGCCAAGUGUGUCAGGUGUGAAAUCCCGAGGCUUAACCUCGGAACUGCGCCUGGAACUACUUGGCUAGAGUACUGGAGAGGGUAACGGAAUUCACGGUGUAGCAGUGAAAUGCGUAGAUAUCGUGAGGAACACCAGAGGCGAAGGCGGUUACCUGGACAGUUACUGACGCUCAGGCACGAAAGCGUGGGGAGCAAAAGGG